UACGUAGGGUGCAGGCGUUAAUCGGAAUUACUGGGCGUAAAGCGUGCGCAGGCGGCUUCCUAAGUCAGAUGUGAAAUCCCCGGGCUUAACCUGGGAACUGCGUUUGAAACUGGGGGGCUAGAGUGCGGCAGAGGGGGGUGGAAUUCCACGUGUAGCAGUGAAAUGCGUAGAUAUGUGGAGGAACACCGAUGGCGAAGGCAGCCCCCUGGGCCUGCACUGACGCUCAUGCACGAAAGCGUGGGGAGCAAACAGG
This 253-nucleotide ribosomal RNA is filed under the name uncultured bacterium. RNAcentral describes it as "partial 16S ribosomal RNA". It matches the Rfam family "Bacterial small subunit ribosomal RNA", at positions 524 to 776 of the family's 1533-position model. The record is from RNAcentral.